CCUACGGGAGGCAGCAGUGGGGAAUAUUGGGCAAUGGGCGCAAGCCUGACCCAGCAACGUAGCGUGAAGGAAGAAUGCCCUCGGGGUUUUAACUUUUUUUGUUAGGGACGUAACAAAUGACGGUACCUGACGAAUAAGCCACGGCUAACUACGUGCCAGCAGUAGCUGUAAUACGGAGGUGGCAAGCGUUAUCCGGAUUUACUGGUUUUAAAGGGCGUGUAGGUGGGAGAGCAAGUCAGUUGUGAAAUUCCGUGGCUCAACCCUGGAAUUGGAGUUGAAACUGGUUUUCUUGAGUAAAGGAGAGGUAGGCGGAAUUCGGGGUGUAGCGGUGAAAUGCGUAGAUAUAACGAAGAACACCGAUGGCGAAGGCAGCCUGCUGGACAUUAACUGACGCUGAGGCGCGAAAGCGUGGGGAGCAAACAGGAUUAGAUACCCGAGUAGUC
Molecule: ribosomal RNA, 443 nt
Filed under: uncultured bacterium
Lineage: Bacteria
Description: partial 16S ribosomal RNA
Rfam family: Bacterial small subunit ribosomal RNA
Source: RNAcentral